RNAcentral lists this ribosomal RNA (1346 nucleotides) under uncultured bacterium. Its description in RNAcentral is "partial 16S ribosomal RNA". It matches the Rfam family "Bacterial small subunit ribosomal RNA", at positions 28 to 1381 of the family's 1533-position model. The record is from RNAcentral.
GACGAACGCUGGCGGCGUGCUUAACACAUGCAAGUCGAACGGAAAGGCCCUGCUUUUGUGGGGUGCUCGAGUGGCGAACAGGUGAGUAACACGUGAGUAACCUGCCCUUGACUUUGGGAUAACUUCAGGAAACUGGGGCUAAUACCGGAUAGGAGCUCCUGCUGCAUGGUGGGGGUUGGAAAGUUUCGGCGGUUGGGGAUGGACUCGCGGCUUAUCAGCUUGUUGGUGGGGUAGUGGCUUACCAAGGCUUUGACGGGUAGCCGGCCUGAGAGGGUGACCGGCCACAUUGGGACUGAGAUACGGCCCAGACUCCUACGGGAGGCAGCAGUGGGGAAUAUUGCACAAUGGGCGGAAGCCUGAUGCAGCAACGCCGCGUGCGGGAUGACGGCCUUCGGGUUGUAAACCGCUUUCGCCUGUGACGAAGCGUGAGUGACGGUAAUGGGUAAAGAAGCACCGGCUAACUACGUGCCAGCAGCCGCGGUGAUACGUAGGGUGCGAGCGUUGUCCGGAUUUAUUGGGCGUAAAGGGCUCGUAGGUGGUUGAUCGCGUCGGAAGUGUAGUCUUGGGGCUUAACCCUGAGCGUGCUUUCGAUACGGGUUGACUUGAGGAAGGUAGGGGAGAAUGGAAUUCCUGGUGGAGCGGUGGAAUGCGCAGAUAUCAGGAGGAACACCAGUGGCGAAGGCGGUUCUCUGGGCCUUUCCUGACGCUGAGGAGCGAAAGCGUGGGGAGCGAACAGGCUUAGAUACCCUGGUAGUCCACGCUGUAAACGGUGGGUACUAGGUGUGGGGUCCAUUCCACGGGUUCCGUGCCGUAGCUAACGCUUUAAGUACCCCGCCUGGGGAGUACGGCCGCAAGGCUAAAACUCAAAGGAAUUGACGGGGCCCCGCACAAGCGGCGGAGCAUGCGGAUUAAUUCGAUGCAACGCGUAGAACCUUACCUGGGUUUGACAUGGAUCGGGAGUGCUCAGAGAUGGGUGUGCCUCUUUUGGGGUCGGUUCACAGGUGGUGCAUGGCUGUCGUCAGCUCGUGUCGUGAGAUGUUGGGUUAAGUCCCGCAACGAGCGCAACCCUUGUUCACUGUUGCCAGCACGUUAUGGUGGGGACUCAGUGGAGACCGCCGGGGUCAACUCGGAGGAAGGUGGGGAUGACGUCAAGUCAUCAUGCCCCUUAUGUCCAGGGCUUCACGCAUGCUACAAUGGCUGGUACAGAGAGUGGCGAGCCUGUGAGGGUGAGCGAAUCUCGGAAAGCCGGUCUCAGUUCGGAUUGGGGUCUGCAACUCGACCUCAUGAAGUCGGAGUCGCUAGUAAUCGCAGAUCAGCAACGCUGCGGUGAAUACGUUCCCGGGGCU